This 436-nucleotide ribosomal RNA is filed under the name uncultured Clostridium sp. RNAcentral describes it as "partial 16S ribosomal RNA". It matches the Rfam family "Bacterial small subunit ribosomal RNA", at positions 341 to 792 of the family's 1533-position model. The record is from RNAcentral. Lineage: Bacteria; Bacillati; Bacillota; Clostridia; Eubacteriales; Clostridiaceae.
ACGGAAGGCAGCAGUGGGGGAUAUUGCACAAUGGGGGAAACCCUGAUGCAGCAACGCCGCGUGUGGGAAGAAGGUUUUCGGAUUGUAAACUACUGUUCUUAGCGAAGAAGAAAUGACGGUAACUAAGAAGAAAGCUCCGGCUAACUACGUGCCAGCAGCCGCGGUAAUACGUAGGGAGCGAGCGUUGUCCGGAUUUACUGGGUGUAAAGGGUGCGUAGGCGGCCCUGCAAGUCAGAAGUGAAAGCCCUGGGCUCAACCCCGGAACUGCGUUUGAAACUGUGGAGCUUGAGUGAAGUAGAGGCAGGCAGAAUUCCCGGUGUAGGGGUGAAAUGCGUAGAGAUCGGGAGGAACACCAGUGGCGAAGGCGGCCUGCUGGGCUUUAACUGACGCUGAGGCACGAAAGCGUGGGUAGCAAACAGGAUUAGAUACCCUGGUA